GGAGGGAUGGCAGAGUGGACGAAUGCACCGGUCUUGAAAACCGGCAGGGCUAAUACCCUCGUGGGUUCGAAUCCCACUCCCUCCGCCA
RNAcentral lists this transfer RNA (88 nucleotides) under Chloroflexota bacterium. RNAcentral describes it as "Chloroflexi bacterium tRNA-Ser". It matches the Rfam family "tRNA". From Rfam's summary of the family: Transfer RNA (tRNA) molecules are approximately 80 nucleotides in length. Lineage: Bacteria; Bacillati; Chloroflexota. The record is from RNAcentral.